Molecule: long non-coding RNA, 515 nt
Organism: Lolium perenne
Lineage: Eukaryota; Viridiplantae; Streptophyta; Magnoliopsida; Poales; Poaceae
Source: RefSeq, a predicted model, not a curated record
ACGACGGCGAGUGACAUGGAGGGAGGCUCCGCCAGCGUGCCUCCAUCGCCGAUCUGCUGAUCCCUCCUCCUCGUGGCCUACUCCUAGAGAGUUGCUGGAUGGAGGUGGACCAGCGGCGAGGUGCAGCGCUGGGCCGGAGGUGGACGAGCAGCAAGUGGCGGUUGAUCUAGAUCUCCUACACCCAGGAGGAUGAGAAGAAGGCAGCUGUGAGCCGUCGUUUUUUUUUAUCUUCAGCACUUGAUUGAGUCAUCUCCCUUUUCCCCCCACCAAAAUUAAUAUUUCUGCAAGAUGAUGUAAAUCAACAUCUUCAAAGAAGGCACCAGUUCACAACAAUCCAAAUCAAUGAACAAGCUGUGAGCGUUGCAAAGAUUAAAUUGGAUGAUCAUGUAUUUCUUGGCAAUCGGCUGCAUGUGUCAUAUGCACCUUAGUUUGAGAUAUUUUUGGAUACCAAGGAGAAAUCGGAACUCGGGAGAAACGAAGACCUCGAUCACAUAGGAUGUAUGGUCUCACCAUUU